GACGUAGGGGGCGAGCGUUGUCCGGAGUUACUGGGCGUAAAGCGCCCGCAGGCGGUCUGGCGCGUUGGGGGUGACAGUCGGCGGCUUAACUGCCGAAGGACUCACAAGACGGCUGGACUGGAGGGCCUCAGAGGGACAUGGAAGUCCGGGUGGAGCGGUGAAAUGCGUAGAGAUCCGGAGGAACACCAAAGGCGAAGGCAGUGUCCUGGGAGGCACCUGACGCUCGGGGGCGAAGGCCAGGGGAG
This 245-nucleotide ribosomal RNA is filed under the name uncultured Thermogemmatispora sp. Its description in RNAcentral is "partial 16S ribosomal RNA". It matches the Rfam family "Bacterial small subunit ribosomal RNA", at positions 524 to 768 of the family's 1533-position model. Lineage: Bacteria; Bacillati; Chloroflexota; Ktedonobacteria; Thermogemmatisporales; Thermogemmatisporaceae. The record is from RNAcentral.